Panthera pardus (leopard) is the source of this 133-nucleotide unclassified non-coding RNA. Lineage: Eukaryota; Metazoa; Chordata; Mammalia; Carnivora; Felidae. The record is from Ensembl.
AAAACAAAGGUGCCUUUGCCAAUAUUUAUGUUUCGCGUUGACAAGCCCUGAGAUUUCUGAGGGGAAUCCACUAUAAAUGGGAUCAGGUCAUUUGUCUAUGUUGUGUGCAAAUAUAAUUUAAAGAAACAACCUC